CAGAACGAACGCUGGCGGCGCGUCUUAAGCAUGCAAGUCGGGCGGCAAGGGGUAGCAAUACCCCCUAGAGCGGCGGACUGGUGAGUAACGCGUGGGUGACCUGCCUUGAGGCUGGGGAUAGCCGCUAGAAAUAGCGGGUAAUACCGAAUACGGUUGCCGGGUUGUGGCCUGGCAAAGAAAGGGGCUCCGGCCCCGCCUUGAGAUGGGCCCGCGUCCUAUUAGGUAGUUGGCGGGGUAAGGGCCCACCAAGCCUCUGAUAGGUAGCCGGCCUGAGAGGGCGAACGGCCACACUGGGACUGAGAUACGGCCCAGACUCCUACGGGAGGCAGCAGCUAAGAAUAUUCCGCAAUGGGCGAAAGCCUGACGGAGCGACGCCGCGUGGAUGAGGAAGGCCGAAAGGUUGUAAAAUCCUUUUGCGGACGAAGAAUAAGCCCUGCAGGGAAUGGCAAGGGUGAUGACGUUAGUCCGUAAUAAGCCCCG
Molecule: ribosomal RNA, 480 nt
Filed under: uncultured Treponema sp.
Lineage: Bacteria; Pseudomonadati; Spirochaetota; Spirochaetia; Treponematales; Treponemataceae
Description: bacterial SSU rRNA
Rfam family: Bacterial small subunit ribosomal RNA
Source: RNAcentral